GGACUACACGGGUUUCUAAUCCUGUUUGCUCCCCACGCUUUCGCACCUCAGCGUCAGUGUUGGGCCAGAAAGCCGCCUUCGCCACUGAUGUUCCUCCAGAUAUCUACGCAUUUCACCGCUACACCUGGAAUUCCGCUUCCCUCUCCCACACUCGAGUCAGGCAGUCUUGAAUGCAAUUCCCAAGUUAAGCCCGGGGAUUUCACAUCCAACUUACCUAACCGCCUACGUGCGCUUUACGCCCAGUAAUUCCGAUUAACGCUCGCACCCUCUGUAUUACCGCGGCUGCUGGCAC
This 292-nucleotide ribosomal RNA is filed under the name uncultured bacterium. RNAcentral's name for it is "partial 16S ribosomal RNA". The record is from RNAcentral.